UUUUUUUUUAAACUUUUUUUUUUCUUCUUCAAGAAUUUGUGGGUGUAACUUUAUUUUAUCCAAAACAAAAAACAAUUUCAUUUGUUCUAAAAAGAAUGUUACAUUUGUAUCCCUCUAAGCUGAAAACGAAACAAAAAAGAACAUCUGACAAAUGUCAACCCAAACAUUGACAAGUGCUUCUAAUAUCAAUCUUCCAGGCAGCUGACCAAGAGGACCAGAUUCUUUAGCCACAACACUCAAAGCAGAAAAGUAGACAUUGUUUUCCUCUUGGUAAACUGCCUGAUAAAUUAACUUUAUGUAGUCACCAUUAUAACCCCAACACUUGUUUGGUCUUAAUUCUUUUGAAGGUAAUAUUUUCCAUUAUCAACCCCCUCCCACCCCCUUUUUUUUCUCCUCUCACCCUAGAGGAUGGCUUAUAGUUUUAGUGUUUCAGAGAACUGACCUGACACUGUUGAAGGAUCAAUAGCAUGUGGUGAUGAAAUGAUCAUGAACAUGAUAAUUGUAGACAUACCCACAGAGCUAUUCUGAAACAAAUGUUUUAAACAAGCAAACACACAUUUAUUUAUUUUUUUUUUUAAAGACUUUAGGAUGGAACACACACCCCCCCUUCACUAGUUCUAGAACAAAGUAAAAAAAAAAAAAAAAAAAAAAAAAAAAAAA
Biomphalaria pfeifferi is the source of this 660-nucleotide non-coding RNA. The record is from the annotation of a GenBank genome assembly. Lineage: Eukaryota; Metazoa; Mollusca; Gastropoda; Planorbidae.